Molecule: long non-coding RNA, 3830 nt
Organism: Equus asinus (donkey)
Lineage: Eukaryota; Metazoa; Chordata; Mammalia; Perissodactyla; Equidae
Source: Ensembl
GCGGGCUGCUUCCCGGGUGUGGGCGUGUGUUUUGUUGGACCUUGACCCGGCUGGGAAAUCUCCUUUUCUCCUUGCAGUUCGCGCCGCUGUGUCCCGAGCGUCACUGGUGUCGCACCGUCAGGGCUCAGCCUUCGAGCCCGUACCGGAGGCUUGUGAGAGGCUCACCUGGAGCCCCGGGCCGGGAGUCAUUGGGUGUGAAGGGCGCUUUCUGGGCGGCGUGCGCUUGGAUUUCGUUAAUACGGCACCUAAGUGGCAGAUAGAGUCAGGGACCGAUGGAAGUUGUUUUGAACGCACCGAGAAUUUGUUCUCCUCCGGCUUCUAGUUUGCGUUUCAAUCCCCAAACUGUCAGUGUUGUAGGGAGACUUAUUAAUGGUGCCGUACUGGCCUCAUUUUGUUUUGCUUAAAGUCGUAUCUUCAGAUAAUUUAGGAUGGGGGGUUGAGGUCCAGAAGAAAUGAGACAGCUAGGGUUUUUCAGGGACACCAGCAUUACCAGUCCAAGCGCGCUGCCCAGAACCGUGGCAGAUGGAGGAGAGAGCUACUCUGACGCGUCUUGGUCUUCGGCGCCCUCCUCAAGCGCUCCUGUAAAUCUCGGUUUUUGUGUGUAGCUGGCCUUAAAAUCAGGUAUAAGGCGUGGAUUAGUAAACGCCUAGUCCAGUGAAAAAGAAGACUCCUAGAAGAAUUGCAUGAUUUGCCCAAGGUCAUACAAUGAAUUAAAGGCGUAAAAUGAAGAAAACUCUGGUCUCCUGAGAGCAAGGCAUGUGCUCCUGCUGUGGUACAGUAUUGCUUCCCAACUCUACACUUGGGCAUGGAUAUGAAAUCAGUGAAGACAAUAGUCAAGUGUAUUCUGAUAAGACUUGAGUGUUUAAUUCAUUACAUGCAGAGCAUCCAUUUAUAUGGCAGUGGGCCAGGCCGAAUAUUCAAUAUACCAGUGAGAGACACACAGUUUGUCAACAGUCAUGGCCUCUUAACAUCAGCUAGCUAGAGAGACCCCACCUGCCCACCUUCGGGUAACAGGCCCUUUCUCCUUCCCCAUCCCUUUCAUAGUUCCCUUCUCUCUAGUAGUUUAUUCUGAAGUCAAAGGAAGAGUUUUUCUCAUAGGUGCUCUGGAGUCAAUCAGCAUGCAAUCCGUACCUCCAACUGUCUUCUAGAUUAUUUGGGUCCAAAUUUGAAUCUCUUUGCUUAGAACUCCUUCUAUGUCAGCUAGUAGUCACUUUGGGUUGUUUUGAAAUCAAUUGCUACUCUCAUAUUCUAGUGGUUAGGGGGCCCCCGCUAGGGGAAGAAUUCUGUGCCCUCCAUGAUCACACUGGUCCAAACAUGGACGUAGACUCAUCCUUUUAAUUUAUUGGAGCAUAGUUUAGAUUACCAAAAUUUGCGCAGGAUGCUAGAUGUGACCACUGUAGCAUGGAGAUAAUGAGACAAUAAUAACAUUUACCUAUGGCUUUGUUGUCAGGAUAAAUGAUUAAACACUUAAUCAAGUGCUUAGUAUAAUAUAAAAGCAAGUUCUUAGUGUAAUAUUGUUACAGUAUAAUUCCUAUAAUGUAUUAUAUAUACUAUGCUAUAAUUAUCUAUAAUACCAUAAAUGUAAUAUAAAUAUUAGCUUUUAUUAUCCACAGACUGACGGGGAUUUUCAUCACCAAAUUAUUCUUUGCUUUGUAGUCCAUCCCUUGCAUCCUGUGAAAAACACUAGCUUUUUCAGAAUUCUACCUCUUAGACGUGCACUCAGGUGCACUCCACUCUGCUACUUGAAGUCGGGUUCUGUGAAAGUGGGCCUACGUAGAGGAAAGAGCUCUCCAGCUCUCACGCCCUUCUGUCCCACCGUCUGCCUCUUUCCAGGAUGGUUGGAAAUGAGAAUAUCCACUGACUUAUGGGGAGGGGAGACCUCACCGCCUACCACCUAGGAUGUUUGUCCUGGGAACCAAUAGAACAAUCUCAUCAUGACACAAUAAUUCAGUGUCAUUAUCGUUGCUAAAGUCUUAUUUAUUCAGCCUUAAGUAAUACUGUGUGAAAGACCAAUAGUACGGUCCAGGUUUCACUUGACCCAGCAUUGCCUAGCUCUUUUGUACAUAUUUACCUCUUUGCGAAGUCAAGAGGUGAGUGCACCAAGCCUCGUUAGUGCUCAACAAUGCCUUAAACACAAGCAUACUGCCAUAAGAGUAAGUAACACUCUGGGCACAUCACGGCUUAACUUCCUACUUAAAAAACAAACAUUUCUCCAAAAAAAAAAAGUCCAAAUGAACCAACUCUGCCUGCAAUGCAAAGAACCUUUGCACUAUUGUACAGAGUGGUUUAGCUCCUUAAAAUUACUGCUGGCAAAUGGCUUGAUUUCUGCAUUGGUCCUUUACUUUACAUUUGUGUAACUAAAAAGCUAAAGGGACCAUUUAAGUGAUUUUCCAAGAACAAAGGCAUGCAAAGACGUGCUUAAAGAUAAAGGGGAAUGUAGAAGGGGAAAUUACUUAAUUUUUGGCUCAAUCACCAGUGCCCCAUUUAUUCUGACCUUUGGGAGUGUGAUGAUCUUUGUUAAUUGGUCAGUAUCACAGAGUACAAUACACACUAAGUGAUUUGCUUCCUUAUUGGCUCACCCAAUAUUUACAUUUCACAAAGACAGAGAUUAAUAAGAACAGUUAUAUGAUUAAUAAGGAGUGUUUCCACCUGGUGGAGUUUGUUCCAGAUCUCUCUUUCCUGGUCAGAAACCGCACUAGUAAUGUGAACAGGGAAAAUUUAACACAAGGAGUCAUUAAGGAGUUAGCAAGAAGGGAUGAAGAAAAGAAAGCCUGGAUGAACUGAUUUUUAGAGAGAAAUGAGGCAUUCAUGAAUGAACAGAAAGACUCAGCAGUUUUCUACUGGGGUAGGCACCUGGACUAAAUAUGGGCAGCUGGAGAAUUAGCCUGCCAAAGAUGGAGAUGAGGAGAAACCAACCAAGAUGUAGACAGCCUGUGGGCUUGUGGGAUGCACUGGAAUCUGGAAGAAGACUGCAGUAGAUUGAGUUUUCCAAAAAUGGCCUUAAUAGUAUCUCCCAUCCUACAUUCUUUUUCCAAAAAUGUGACAUUUGCCUCCCUCCCAUCGAAUGGUAUUGUCCAUGAUCCUUGCUUUGAAUCUGGUCAAGUUUGUGACAAUGGCGGAAAUAAUGAUAUGUGAAUUCUGAGGCCAAGUCAUAAAAGGUGAUACAGCUUCUGCCUGGCCCUCUUGGGAGACAUGACUUUGCAACCCUGACUGCAAUGUAAGGAAUCCACUGCUGCUGUGCUGUGAGGAAGGGUCAUGUGGAGGUGUUCUGGAUCAUCCCAAGCUGAGUUCCCAGCCAGCAGUCAGGAUCAACCAGCAGGCGUGUCAUUGGAGCCACCUCUAGAGGAUUCCUGCUCCCUGCCAUUGUGUCACCUUCAGUCUGAUCCACAUAAUCCCUGAAUGUACUAAAAUAUUUUUGUUUCAAAUAGUAUUGUUUUAUUUCAAUUUAAAUGUCUUCAUUUCAAAUGUUUAAACUGCUAAAUUUGGGGUAACAUGAUGGAACAAUAAAUAACCAGAAUAAGCUCCAGAUUUGAAAAUAAAUUACUCACCUUGACAAUUCUCCCCUCCAUGUAUACCACUCACACCCAAAUAUUGCCAAGAAAGCAGCAGUGGAGGAAAGCCUGGACAUAGAGAUUGAACGCAUAUUCCUCUGCAUCCUCACAGUGCUUGGAUUGUGGGCCCUAUCAGAGUUGAGUCUAACGAUGAGCCAAAAUUAUCUGAAGGUAACCCAACCUCCUCCCACCUCAGAUUUUUAAAAAAUUAAAGACAGAGUUAAUGCGUUGGUAGUUAGGCUAAUUAUGGGUGAAUUAAAGCUAAAAAACCAAGUGUGA